RNAcentral lists this non-coding RNA (188 nucleotides) under Vreelandella halophila. RNAcentral describes it as "6S RNA". It matches the Rfam family "6S / SsrS RNA". Rfam says of the family: E. coli 6S RNA was the first non coding RNA to be sequenced, but its function was unknown until recently. It consists of 184 nucleotides that fold into an extended hairpin structure with a large single-stranded internal bulge. RNAcentral also lists the same sequence under 1 other name. Lineage: Bacteria; Pseudomonadati; Pseudomonadota; Gammaproteobacteria; Oceanospirillales; Halomonadaceae. The record is from RNAcentral.
AACUCUCUGGGCUGUACGACUUCACUGGAUGUUGUCCUCGAGCCGAUGCGCACGACCAAAGGGAGCCGCUCCCUGGUGAUGUGAGCAAGUCCUCCACAGCAGAGGAAAGCCUGAUUCACUAUCAAGGGGCUCCCGCCUUGAACUACUGGGUUCAAGGGCACGAUCCGGUCCGGCAGCCCGGAGGGUUU